Molecule: ribosomal RNA, 1246 nt
Filed under: metagenome
Description: bacterial LSU rRNA
Rfam family: Bacterial large subunit ribosomal RNA
Source: RNAcentral
UGAGUACGAGAUGCUACGGCAUUGAAGCAGUCUAUGUCAUACUUCCAAGAAAAGCUUGCAAUGUCAUAAACAAAUAAUGCCUGUACCAUAACCGACACAGGUGGGUAGGUAGAGUAUACUAAGGGGCGCGAGAUAGCUCUCUCUAAGGAACUCGGCAAAAUGACUCCGUAACUUCGGGAGAAGGAGUGCCUUAUUUUAUAAGGUUGCAAUAACAAGAUCCAAGCAACUGUUUACCAAAAACACAGGUCUCCGCUAAGUCGUAAGACGAUGUAUGGGGGCUGACGCCUGCCCAGUGCCAGAAGGAUAAAGAAGUUGGUUAGCAUUAGCGAAGCUGAUAACUGAAGCCCUGGUGAACGGCGGCCGUAACUAUAACGGUCCUAAGGUAGCGAAAUUCCUUGUCGGGUAAGUUCCGACCCGCACGAAAGGCGUAAUGAUUUGGAUACUGUCUCGGAGAGGGGCUCGGUGAAAUAGACUUGUCUGUGAAGAUGCGGACUACCUGCACCUGGACAGAAAGACCCUAUGAAGCUUUACUGUAACUUGAGAUUGAAAUUGGACUUUAUUUGCGCAGUAUAGGUGGGAGACAUUGAAAGUAUUCUUGCGGGAAUAUUGGAGUCAUCAGUGAGAUACCACUCUUAUAAUGUUAGAUUUCUAACUUUGUAUCAUUAUCUGGUCAAAGAACAGUUUCAGGCGGGCAGUUUGACUGGGGCGGUCGCCUCCCAAACGGUAACGGAGGCGCACAAAGGUUUCCUCUGAACGUGUAGAAAUCGUAUCUAGAGUGUAAAGGCAUAAGGAAGCUUGACUGUGAGACCUACAAGUCGAGCAGGGACGAAAGUCGGUCUUAGUGAUCUGACGGUGCUGAGUGGAAAGGCCGUCACUCAACGGAUAAAAGUUACUUUAAGGAUAACAGGCUGAUCUCCCCCAAGAGUUCACAUCGACGGGGUGGUUUGGCACCUCGAUGUCGGCUCAUCGCAUCCUGGGGCGGUAGUACGUCCCAAGGGUUGGGCUGUUCGCCCAUGAAAGCGGUACGCGAGCUGGGUUCAGAACGUCGUGAGACAGUUCGGUCCAUAUCCGGUGUAGGCGUUAGAAUAUUGAGAGGAGCCUUCUUUAGUACGAGAGGACCGAGAAGGACAUACCUCUGGUGUACCAGUUAUCGUGCCAACGGUAAACGCUGGGUAGCUAUGUAUGGAGAGGAUAACCGCUGAAAGCAUCUAAGUGGGAAGCCCACCUCAAGAUAAGUAUUCUCAUC